CCCGUUUGUGUGUGUGUGUGUGUGUGUGUGUGUGUGUGUGUGUGUGUGUGUGGUGUGCUGUGUGUGUGCGUGUGUGUGUGUGUGUGUGUGUGUGUGUGUGUGUGAGUGUGUGUGUUCGCCUGCGUGCUUUUCUUCUUCCCUUUAAGAUGUGAGAUAUGAAUGGCUUCUCAGUAGCUGGUCCUUAGGAUUCUGGACUUUGUGGAGCUGUGAACACAACGCACCCAUGUAAUUCAUGUUGUGUGGUCGCUUAUCUUAGAAAAAAAGGCGCAACUCGACGGGGGUGGGGCAGAUCCAUGAAACAUUCUGGAAAGGAGAAAUAGAAAGGGGGAGGAAUAAAAAUAUGAAUAGUGAAAGACCUGAGAAGACUUUUGGAAUCUCCCGGCUGACCCUUCAGUUUUCCGGCACGAAUCUGGAGGUUUUCCACCUUUUCAAGUCAUCUUGAUGUUUCUCUAGUGUUUUGUAAGCCUCUUUCCAGCUGGCUGCCUGUGUGUAUGCGUGUGUUUGUGCGCCUGUGUAUGUGCGCGCGCCUAUCCGAUGCAUUUCACAGUCUUUUUUCCAACUGCCCAGAAGCAAACGUGUUAACUCAGAGAUGCCCCUCCAUGCCCAGGUUCUCCCAGAGCUUGGAGGACACCCAGACCGGUUUUCCUGGCUGGAGUCUGGGAAGAUGAUGGGCUAUGAACCCAGGUGUAUGGAUCACUUAAACCAGAGGAUUGGAAAGUGGCUGUAUUAACCAGCUUCCAGGUACAUCACAAGGUCAAGAGAGGGACUUGCAGCUGUAUUAUUUUCCUGCAUCUUCACUUUCCUGUUUUGGUCCGAGGAAUAUGAAUGUGUCUGUCCACAACCUUUGAAGCCAAACUUCAGCACUCCGAGCUGGUUUACUGUACAAACAAGGUAAUGAGGAUUGCUUUUCAAACUGCUUAACGAAUCCCCGACGCUUCCAUAGCCCUUUCAGGACUCCCUUACUCCCCAGCGAAAUGUCACCAGCUUUUGAAUUCCAAGGAUUUGACUGCAGGAGAACUUGAAGGAAACGUGGUCAAGGGGCUAUGUGAGAAAGCGACUGCUCUCUUUGCCGGUGGGCUGGUGGGCUUCCGGACCGGAUCUUGAGUGGGACCAGUACUGUUUCUUCCUCCCGGUGCGGUUCUGGGAGUGCUUGUGCAAGUGUGAGUGCGCGCGCGCCAGGCUGAGAAUGUGUGAGUGUGUGUGAGCGUGUCUCUGUGUGUGCGCGGCCGCCCUGCUUCUCUGCCCGCUCCCCGGGCGCGGAGCCACCGGUUUCAUGGGGCGAUUUGCGCUGAUUCCCCACCCAGCGCGACCUGCGAGCAGCGACGGCAGGGGCAGGAGCCACCUCUCUGACUCCCUAGGAUGCGGGUGCUGAGCAAUGGCAAAGGGCAGCGAAGUGAUGAGCAAGACCCCAGUACGACUGUGAAAGCCACCUGGAGCCACCUUGCCUGGAUCUUACCUGCCGGCAGAAAGUCUUCCUAUGACCGUCUUUCCCCCUAGAGGCACCAGACUCCCCCCAUUCAGCCAGGUGUGGAGAAGACAUGUAGUAGCUGAUAACCUUCCGUCUGACAUCACUCUCAGAACCAGCAUUGGAAAUGCGUUUACCCUGCCAGUCUUCUGCAGCAGCCAGGCCAAGCACUGACUCCUUCAUGGUAGUAAGGAACUCUUCAGACUCCAGAAG
RNAcentral lists this long non-coding RNA (1678 nucleotides) under Rattus norvegicus (Norway rat). Its description in RNAcentral is "long non-coding RNA NONRATT024316". Lineage: Eukaryota; Metazoa; Chordata; Mammalia; Rodentia; Muridae. The record is from RNAcentral.